CAUUCCUUGAUGCAUUAACACUAUUUUUGAUCCGGUGCAAUGUUGUAGUACACAGGUCUUUUUGCAUAUUGGCAAAAUCUUUGGCAUUAGGACCAAGCAUAUGAAUAAUUCUGGAUCCAUUGGCACCAUCUUUUAUAUUAUACACUGCAGCAUUAAUGAUGCAUUUCUAGCUCUACAUACUGGCGAAAGCUUGGACACCAGAGACAAGCAUAGUAACAUUUUCUUGGAUGGGCUGCCACCAUUUUUAAUGUGGUGAACUGCCGUAGCAGAGAGCCUCUCUCUGAAGUAGGGAAAUCUUGGGCGCGAGCGACAUACAUAUGAACAUUUAUGGCAAGACUAGCAUCGUUUUUGAUAGAAGGAUUUAUGCUAGUUGAUCCCGAAUACUCCUAAUCCUACUCAUAGUCGAAAGAUUCUUUUUUUUUCCUACUAUCCCUUGGUAGUCGUC
RNAcentral lists this long non-coding RNA (445 nucleotides) under Oryza brachyantha (malo sina). RNAcentral's name for it is "long non-coding RNA (OBRA_LNC002986)". The record is from RNAcentral. Lineage: Eukaryota; Viridiplantae; Streptophyta; Magnoliopsida; Poales; Poaceae.